CGCUUCUCCUCUUCCAUCUCUUUCUUCUUUCACGCUUCUCUUCUUCCGUCUCUUUCUCCUUCAUCGGCGACUUCUUCUUCUUCUUCUAGAUUUUUCGAAACCUUAACCCUAAAUCUCUUCUUCCUCUUCUAACCAUCAACGAAACCUCUUUUUCUCCGUGGAUCUUUCUUCCCUCUCUUCGAUCUUCUCAUUCUAGAUCCAUAGAUCUUCGUUCUUCUCACAGAUCUGAGAUUAACAACAAUCCCGAUCUAGAUUUCUCCCAAAUCGGCUUUGUAGUGACGGAGAAGAAUCGGCGGUGGAGGAGAAUCGGCGGUGGAAGAGAAUCGACGGUGGAGGAGAAUCGACGGUGGAGGAGGAUCGACGGUGGAGGAGAAUCGUCGAUCCUCCUCCACCGGCUUUGUAUUUUAAUAAUUAAUUAUGUAUAUUAACUAAGCAAAAAUAAAAGUCUAAAAAAUAUAUGAGACUAAAAUACAACUAAACAAGAAAAAAGAAUGUUAAAUGUUAGAGAUAUUGAAGAUCAAAUUUUGAUAAGAUGAAUUUUACUAUUUUAAAUUGAAUUUUGAUUAACUAACCUAAGAAGAUUAUCUAUUAAUGUGGCCUCUAAAUUUUUAAAACCCAAUGUGGCCUAAGGCAAAUGUCUUUUUUUUUUUUAUUAUUAUUCAAGUAGUCACGGCUCUGGUUGUAUAGUUUGUUAGUCUCAAGCUCUAUAUAAACAGUUGUAAAGUCAUCAUUCGAAGGUUAACGAGAAUUUCAGUCUUUAUCUAUAUAAUGAAGUCGAUAAAUUUAGGCCUUAAUGAUCAACUUUCAUAUCACGCUAAGCAAUUAACAUGUAAUUAGGGUUGUCCACUUUGAAUAGUUUCGUGGAUUUUAAGGACGAAAUCUUAUUUUUUCAUGUUUUUAGUCAUUGUAGAGAACUUUCUAAUGUGGUUUCUUAUUUACAAUUUCUAAUGUGUUGGUUUUUAUUUGCAGCAUUAGUGCGACCGACGUUUUUAAUUGCAGCAUCUCCUGUUCUGUUUAUUCUUAGGCAUGAAAUGGAUUAGAGGGUUGCAUCCACCUGAAGUUGCAUCAACAGUUGGGGUUUCAAUCACUGGAUCAACAGAGGAUCAGGUUAAGGAAGGGUGAAAUAGACAAGGAUGGCAAUUCAAUCAAGUAACUACAUACAACUAUUCCAGCCUACAGAGCUUAUUGCGGUUUAUCAGAAAUUCAAUUAGUCAUCACAGAGAACUUCCUCCAGAAGUCCAGGUCUUUGGGGAACGUAUCCAGAAGGAUUGGAUAGUAAUUUUGCUUCUAGGUUCCCUACGUUGAUGAUCAUAGUCCAUAGAAUUAUGUCUCACAACUGCAAGACAGAAAACGCGUUUAAGACUUACUUCCAAGAUAGCGAAAUGGAUGGAUGAUGAUGUUUAACACACUUCCAAGAUAGCGAAAUGGAUGGAUAAGUCUAGACUCAUAAUUUUGUUUAGAAGUCAUUGACCUUUUAUGAAAAAAACAAACUAGUUUUCACCAUUGGCUAUUUGCUCGCCAAAUUUCUUUAUCCUCACCUCCAUCGUUACCAAAACAUGCUAAUGUCAACUAACACAUUCUUCUAUAUUGAUUAUCAGAAAUGGGAUCAAAUUAUCAUAAA
Molecule: long non-coding RNA, 1621 nt
Organism: Arabidopsis lyrata subsp. lyrata
Lineage: Eukaryota; Viridiplantae; Streptophyta; Magnoliopsida; Brassicales; Brassicaceae
Exons: 2
Source: RefSeq, a predicted model, not a curated record